This 76-nucleotide transfer RNA is filed under the name Sphingomonadales bacterium. RNAcentral's name for it is "tRNA-Thr". It matches the Rfam family "tRNA". From Rfam's summary of the family: Transfer RNA (tRNA) molecules are approximately 80 nucleotides in length. Their secondary structure includes four short double-helical elements and three loops (D, anti-codon, and T loops). Lineage: Bacteria; Pseudomonadati; Pseudomonadota; Alphaproteobacteria; Sphingomonadales. RNAcentral also lists the same sequence under 1 other name. The record is from RNAcentral.
GCCGGUAUAGCUCAGCUGGUAGAGCAUCUGAUUUGUAAUCAGAGGGUCGGGGGUUCAAGUCCCUCUGCCGGCACCA